AAUAUGGCUGCUGAAAUUAAUAUGGUAAUUCUAGCAGACAUAAGUCCCAUGCCAAAACUAUCAUAUUAAUUUCAGCAUCCAUUAUUAA
Dictyostelium discoideum is the source of this 88-nucleotide microRNA precursor. It matches the Rfam family "mir-7131 microRNA precursor family". The record is from Rfam. Lineage: Eukaryota; Evosea; Eumycetozoa; Dictyosteliales; Dictyosteliaceae.